AUUGAACGCUGGCGGCAGGCCUAACACAUGCAAGUCGAGCGGCAGCACAGAGGGACUUGUUCCUUGGGUGGCGAGCGGCGGACGGGUGAGUAAUGCCUGGGAAAUUGCCCUGAUGUGGGGGAUAACCAUUGGAAACGAUGGCUAAUACCGCAUGAUGCCUACGGGCCAAAGAGGGGGACCUUCGGGCCUCUCGCGUCAGGAUAUGCCCAGGUGGGAUUAGCUAGUUGGUGAGGUAAUGGCUCACCAAGGCGACGAUCCCUAGCUGGUCUGAGAGGAUGAUCAGCCACACUGGAACUGAGACACGGUCCAGACUCCUACGGGAGGCAGCAGUGGGGAAUAUUGCACAAUGGGCGCAAGCCUGAUGCAGCCAUGCCGCGUGUAUGAAGAAGGCCUUCGGGUUGUAAAGUACUUUCAGUCGUGAGGAAGGUUGUAGUGUGAAUAGCACUAUGAUUUGACGUUAGCGACAGAAGAAGCACCGGCUAACUCCGUGCCAGCCGCCGCAGUAACAC
This 509-nucleotide ribosomal RNA is filed under the name uncultured bacterium. Its description in RNAcentral is "bacterial SSU rRNA". It matches the Rfam family "Bacterial small subunit ribosomal RNA", at positions 30 to 526 of the family's 1533-position model. The record is from RNAcentral.